This is a non-coding RNA of Podarcis lilfordi (Lilford's wall lizard), 1074 nucleotides long. The record is from the annotation of a GenBank genome assembly. NCBI's taxonomy places the organism in Eukaryota, Metazoa, Chordata, Lepidosauria, Squamata, Lacertidae.
GGAUGAGUGAUUGUGCAGGAGUGAGAAGUCCUAUGGAGACUAGUUUUGUGAAGGACAGCCAGCAAGUAGAACGCGCUGCGUUCGAAAAUACUGAAGUGUUUCAGUCAGCUCUAGGGAGUUUGUUGUACUUGUCCCAGUGGAGCAGACCUGAUAUAGCGUUUGCUGUCAAUCUGCUCAGCAGGGAGGCAUCAAACCCUAGUGUGCAAGCCUGGAAUGGCAUCAAGAGAGUUCUGAGGUAUUUGCAGGAGACCAAAGACUUUUGUCUUAGGUUGCCAGCACAAGGAGAAGUCAAACUGACUUGCUUUGUGGACUCGGAUUGGGCUAAUCUUGAGGAUCGCAAGUCUGUGUCUGGCCUAGUGGUGAAGUUUGGGAACUCAGUAGUUGGAUGGAGGUCCAAGAAGCAAAGUCUGAUAGUGCUCUCAUCCACUGAGGCUGAGUUUAGUGCUCUUUCAGAGAUGUGCAGAGAAGUAGAGUUCUAUGCUUGUUUGGUGCAGGAACUCUGCGAAGUGGAUUGUCUGCCGAUACGUGUUUUCGAGGACAAUCAACCAUGCCUGCGUUUGGCAGAGUCAGGUCAGUUCAAGGCCAGAACGAAACACCUAGACAUUCGCUUUCGGAAUGUGUGCCAGAGUGUUCAGGAGGGAUUAGUUGCGCUGAAGUACUGUCCCUCUGCCAAGAACCUAGCUGAUGGGUUCACGAAACCACUCACCUUCCAAAGACAUGGGGAGUUUUGUGAAGGUCUGGGUUUGGGACGACCAAGGGUCGAUUCUCCCCUCAGGCGCGAGACAAGAGGGGGUGUUGGGUGUAGUGAAGGGUUAACCUUCUGUGUCUCGAGGCUGAGAGGAGGCGCUUACAAGGGAAGUAAGCCAGGACGUGACGAAAGCAGCUUGGAAUGCUGUGAGCUGAGUGAAAAGUGAAAGCAGCUUUGCUACGCAGCUGCUGAGAGAGACAGGUCGCAAAAUGCAACUGGAAUCAGAUGGUGUAUAUGAACUGUAAACAUGCUAUUUUUGAGCAAAUAAAGUGCUACUAGGAAAGAAGAAACGUGUGGGACCUAUUUACUGACUGCCCUUUCUACAC